ACUGAUAUAAACAACACUGACUGCCUGAUGUUGGCAUGUGAAGGAGGUAACAUAUCUAUUGUGAAACACAUUCUGUCAAUGAAAACAUUUGCCAGCAACAGACGAAGAGGAUGGCCUAACCAAACACGAACCAUGACAGCAUUUAAAGAGGAAAAUAUACUAAGUUCCAAAAGAAACGCGACAUUCAUGUUUGUUUUGAAAUUUCCAUAAUUGUCUUAUCUACUUCACAAUCAUAACGAAUGUGCAUGUUAAAUGUUCUUUGAAACCAAUUUUCGAAAUUAAACUUCUGAAACAAGACGUUUAACGUUAGAUUAGACGUAACAACUGAAUCUAAUUAUUGAACAUUUUUAUGGAAAAAAACAACAGAAACGCAUCACAUAAACGCAUGCCCCGGCGCGUUGUGCACGUGAAUUUAAUGAUACGACGCUUUCUUCAAGAUAAACGAGAGAAAGAACCCUUUAAAAGAUGCGACGGCAGUUUCUGUUGUGUUCUUUUCUGAAUGGUUCAGAGAACAAUAUGCCACGUCUAAGCAAUGAAGCAAGCACGUCUACGUGCUCUUGGGAUGAUUGAUGCUGGUUCCAUCGUUGCAACGUUGCACAACAUAUGGGAGUACAUCGGACGACAAUUUACCGACAGAUUGAACGCCAAAAUCAAACGAAUUCGGUGAGAGAUCGACCUAGAGAUGGCAGGCCACGAGUGACGUCACACAGGCAAGACCGUUACAUCGUAACGUCACAUCUUCGCAACCGUUUUCUUCCAGCUACUGUUACAGCCCGUCAGACAAUUGGGAUUCACAACAGACCAAUUUCAGGAAACACUGUGCUUCGACGUUUGAUAGCACACCGGCUGCACUGUAGGAGACCCUGUGUUGGACCGAUUUUGACGCCACGGCACCGUCGUCUGCGCUUAGCAUGGGCUCGCCAACAUCAGCAUUGGAGAUAUGCACAGUGGCAGAACGUUGUUUUCUCAGACGAGAGUCGUUUUUGUGUCCACGUUGCAGAUGGGAGAGUGAGAGUAUGGCGUCGACGAAAUGAACGUUUCAGAGACCCACGUGUUCUGGAAAGUGACCGCUGGGGUGGGCCAUCCCUUAUGAUGUGGGGUGGAAUAAGCUGGGGAAAGCAUGUACCACCUGUAAUCUUCCAAACCAACGGUCAAGGUCGUGGAAGGGGUGUAACUGCACGACGCUACAUUGACGAAGUUUUAAGGCCUGUUGUCGUCCUGCUCUUUAGACCCAGACCACAGUUGCAGCUCCAACAUGGUAAUGCCCGCGCGCACCCGCCAUUAUCAUAGGACAAUUCUUGUCCAAUCACCACAUCCAGACAAUGGUUUGGCCACCUCUUAGUCAAGAUUUGAAUCCAGUGGAACAUCUCUGGGACGAGUUGGACCGACGCCUUCGUCAAAGACCAGUUCCUCCACAAAGUCGGCGGCAGUUGUAGAAUGCAGUGUUGAAUGAAUACAAUAGCAUUCCCCGUGCUUUCAUUCGACGUUUGUUCAUGUCCAUGGGAAGACGGUGUACUCAUGUGAUCAACAAUAAUGGUGGUCAUACCAGGUACUGAUGACAUCGAAUAUCAGCUUAAGCUUCUAAACGUGUCUAAUGCAGACUCUUCAGGUUGGACACAAUAGAAACUUCAUCAGAUCUUAAAUCCACUGUCGUUGCUGUUGUCUUUUAGCUUUCUUUGGAGCGUUCUGUGUAAAGCAUAUAGUGGCAGGAAGCAUGAAUGUGGGAUAACAGUUCUUAUUUCAAAUGGACUUGUCGCGUUUCCUUUGGAACUAAGUAUAUUAAUAUGUUUAUCAUCUCCUAGUAUCUGAUGGUGCCGAUCUGACCCACACUAAAAAUAGAACAAUGACUGUCUGAUGGUGGCAUGUGAAGAAGGUAACAUAUUGUGAAACACAUUCUAUCCAUGAAAACAUGUGACAUCAACAGACGGGGACGUGUAUCAAAACAAACAAACUACCAAACACCGAUUAUGAAGGCAUUAGAAAGAAAACACUAUGACGUUUAUCAUCGCCUUGUGUCUGAGGGCGCAGGUGUAAAGGUGUAUAUAGCUGUGUACUGCGUUUGUAGUGUAGACAACAUUGUUUUGUGUUGUAUUGAUGAACAUAUCGUUGUAUAGUGUUGGCAAGGUGUAUAUAUCAUAGUAUAGUGUUGGCAAGGUGUAUAUAUCAUAGUAUAGUGUUGAAAGGUGUAUAUAUCAUUGUAAUAGUAUUGUAAAGGUGUAUAUAGCUGUGUACUGCGUUAUAGUGUAUACAACAUUGUUUUGUGUUGUAUUGAUGAACAUAUCGUUGUAUAGUGUUGGCAAGGUGUAUAUAUCAUAGUAUAGUGUUGAACGGUG
RNAcentral lists this unclassified non-coding RNA (2333 nucleotides) under Haliotis rubra (blacklip abalone). RNAcentral describes it as "uncharacterized LOC124257569, transcript variant X1". The record is from RNAcentral. Lineage: Eukaryota; Metazoa; Mollusca; Gastropoda; Lepetellida; Haliotidae.